This 786-nucleotide long non-coding RNA is filed under the name Anser brachyrhynchus (Pink-footed goose). Its description in RNAcentral is "lncRNA (ENSABRG00000012201.1)". Lineage: Eukaryota; Metazoa; Chordata; Aves; Anseriformes; Anatidae. The record is from RNAcentral.
CCUGUCUCUAGCACUCAAAAAUCACUUGGCAUUCAAAAAUUAUAGAUUUGGGGGUUUAUUCUGCAAGGACAGGAAAAGCAGUAAUUUUGUGUAACAGGGAAGAGAGGUGGUGAGUUAAUGAUGUGGUUGCAGCCAUGUUGGCUUCAGAACCAAGCCAGUGACGUGUGGCAUUCACCAUGGAAAAGUAGUUACUGACCCACCAGGCUUCAUGUUACUUUAACUUGAUGACUGCUGCCUCAGUGCAUCACAUUUUACUUUUCCUCCAACUGUUUCAGUCCAUUUUAGAGGAGAGGACAGACAAGUUGUGCCAUUCCAAUUCUGAACACAGUGUUCCCAAGUCACCCCCACCCAGGGAUGCUACCCCAUCAGGCUGAGGGGAAGAAAGGACACAGACCACCUUGAACCCUGUAGGCCAACACAGGCGGAGAUGAAGAUGCUGCAUUAGGUGUGCUUCAGGAUGCUGCUCCUCAUUGGUGAGAGCAGGGUGCUCACAGGGAUGGCCAUGGGGCUCAGGCUGAUCAGAUGUUGGGCAGAGCUCAGCUGUGAGCGAGGAACUGAUGGGCCAGGCUUCCUGCUUCAUCCUGCACCUGCCUCCUUGAAAGAAAACAAGACAUCAGAUACUUAUUCAAAUAAUGCAAUAGCUGAUCAGCAGAGUAUCUACACAAUGGUGUUGAGAUUUCAUCACACUGGAGGGCAGUGAGGCUCAGCUUCAAGCAGAUAAGGUGUUUUGUGUUGGUGGAAAGACAGGCGAGCAUGCAAAUAAGUGGAAAGUGGGCUUAAGGUAAG